AUGACCAGAGACAACUCCAAAAACAUGGUGUAUCUGCAGCUGACUGGUUUGAGUGCCCAGGAUUCUGCUGUCUAUUACUGUGCUAAACACCACAGUGGUACAAACAUGUUAAUCAACCGUCCAAAAAUCCUCCCCAAGAUGUGGUCAAAGAGAAAAGAGCUUUCAAGAUACGCAAUCUUUAUUCAACAUUCCUGCAGUCAGACACUGAUCGAGUCUGAUCCAGUGAUCAUCAAACCUGCUCAGUCUCAUAAACUGACCUGCACAGCCUCUGGAUUAGACAUUAGUAGCUACUGGAUGGCUUGGAUCAGACAGGCACCUGGAAAAGGACUGGAAUUUGUUGCAAUUAUUGAGUAUGAUAGUGAUAACAAGUUUUACUCCAGUGCUGUUCAGGGCCGCUUCACCAUCUCCAGAGACAACAGUAAGAAGCAGGUGUAUCUGCAGAUGAACAGCAUGAGGACAGAAGACACUGCAGUUUAUUACUGCGCC
Molecule: non-coding RNA, 486 nt
Organism: Tachysurus vachellii
Lineage: Eukaryota; Metazoa; Chordata; Actinopteri; Siluriformes; Bagridae
Source: the annotation of a RefSeq genome assembly